This 430-nucleotide ribosomal RNA is filed under the name Pseudomonadota bacterium. Its description in RNAcentral is "Proteobacteria bacterium partial 16S ribosomal RNA". It matches the Rfam family "Bacterial small subunit ribosomal RNA", at positions 355 to 776 of the family's 1533-position model. Lineage: Bacteria; Pseudomonadati; Pseudomonadota. The record is from RNAcentral.
UGGGGAAUAUUGGACAAUGGGGGGAACCCUGAUCCAGCCAUGCCGCGUGUGUGAAGAAGGCCUUAUGGUUGUAAAGCACUUUAAGCGAGGAGGAGGGUACUGGUAUUAAUACUACCAGGUACUGGACGUUACUCGCAGAAUAAGCACCGGCUAACUCUGUGCCAGCAGCCGCGGUAAUACAGAGGGUGCGAGCGUUAAUCGGAUUUACUGGGCGUAAAGCGUGCGUAGGCGGCUAAUUGAGUCGGAUGUGAAAUCCCCGAGCUUAACUUGGGAAUUGCAUUCGAUACUGGUUAGCUAGAGUGUGGGAGAGGAUGGUAGAAUACCAGGUGUAGCGGUGAAAUGCGUAGAGAUCUGGAGGAAUACCGAUGGCGAAGGCAGCCAUCUGGCCUAACACUGACGCUGAGGUACGAAAGCAUGGGGAGCAAACAGG